AGCUGUGAUGCGUGGUUAGUCGGAAGUUGGUAUCGUGCCAACACCAGACGUGUACGAUUAGUGCAUUUAGGGCAACAUUUCACGUUAACCGUUCAAGAUGUUACGUCUUCUCAUCCUCACACUUUUGGUUAGUCAAUGCAUGUCACGUCCUGCAUCGAGAAGACUUGACAACCAUAUGGAAAACAUCGAGUUCCAUUACUCCAGCAACUCGGAACCGUACGUGAUCAACACUGAUGAUUAUGGUGUGAAGCCCCUAGCAGACCCACAAGGGGCAGAAAAUCCUUAUUAUUCGAAUUAUUAAGGAAAUGUAUUGACAGCCUUGAAAGUUAUUUUGAGGGUUUCCUUGCCUGGUUUGGAUCAAUCACAAUUGUGAACACCUUUGAGACUCAAAUUAUGAUGAAAUAAAACUGAUUUCACAAGCUCCA
Syngnathus acus (greater pipefish) is the source of this 425-nucleotide long non-coding RNA. RefSeq lists it as uncharacterized. The transcript has 3 exons. The record is from RefSeq and is a predicted model, not a curated record. Lineage: Eukaryota; Metazoa; Chordata; Actinopteri; Syngnathiformes; Syngnathidae.